AGCUGAUCCUCUUCGGAGGUGACGCUUGUGGAACGAGCGGCGGACGGGUGAGUAACACGUGGGCAACCUGCCUGUAAGACUGGGAUAACCCCGGGAAACCGGGGCUAAUACCGGAUAAUACUUUUCAUCACCUGAUGAGAAGUUGAAAGGUGGCUUUUAGCUACCACUUACAGAUGGGCCCGCGGCGCAUUAGCUAGUUGGUGAGGUAACGGCUCACCAAGGCAACGAUGCGUAGCCGACCUGAGAGGGUGAUCGGCCACACUGGGACUGAGACACGGCCCAGACUCCUACGGGAGGCAGCAGUAGGGAAUCUUCCGCAAUGGACGAAAGUCUGACGGAGCAACGCCGCGUGAGUGAUGAAGGUUUUCGGAUCGUAAAGCUCUGUUGUUAGGGAAGAACAAGUGCCGUUCGAAUAGGGCGGCACCUUGACGGUACCUAACCAGAAAGCCCCGGCUAACUACGUGCCAGCAGCCGCGGUAAUACGUAGGGGGCAAGCGUUGUCCGGAAUUAUUGGGCGUAAAGCGCGCGCAGGCGGUCCUUUAAGUCUGAUGUGAAAGCCCACGGCUCAACCGUGGAGGGUCAUUGGAAACUGGAGGACUUGAGUACAGAAGAGGAGAGUGCAAUUCCACGUGUAGCGGUGAAAUGCGUAGAGAUGUGGAGGAACACCAGUGGCGAAUGCGACUCUCUGGUCUGUAACUGACGCUGAGGCGCGAAAGCGUGGGGAGCGAACAGGAUUAGAUACCCUGG
Molecule: ribosomal RNA, 747 nt
Filed under: Virgibacillus halodenitrificans
Lineage: Bacteria; Bacillati; Bacillota; Bacilli; Caryophanales; Bacillaceae
Description: bacterial SSU rRNA
Rfam family: Bacterial small subunit ribosomal RNA
Source: RNAcentral